This 1187-nucleotide long non-coding RNA is filed under the name Parus major (Great Tit). RNAcentral describes it as "lncRNA (ENSPMJG00000010418.1)". The record is from RNAcentral. Lineage: Eukaryota; Metazoa; Chordata; Aves; Passeriformes; Paridae.
UUUCUCGAGACUGUGAUCUAAAGUCACACUACCAAUAGAACAAAAUUACUUUUACCUUUUCAGUGUUUAUAGAAAUUCUGCAUUACUAAAUCUAAGUGUUUAGAUGUAUUCUUGUCUGACUGGCUGAUAACAAAUUUAAUCCUUUAGAUUCAUUUGCUUUUCUUCAAGAUAAAAUUUAGCAAGCAUUGCAACACUCUGCUCUCCACUCAGACUGCAGAGUUCACCAAGGAAAUUGUACAGCAGCCAGUGCAAUUGCUUUCUCUAGCAUCAUUUCAAAGGGUGAGAGAACAUGCUGGAAACCUUAGAUCAUGUCUUAUCCUGCUAUCAGCAGCAUGCAGACCCCAAGCACAGAACAGUCUUAUUGGUCAUGGCUGUUUGGUAGUGCCUAAUCUCAGUCUAUGAUUUUAGAGAUCUACUUAUUUGAUGCUUCAGUCUUCCCUGAUUGUGGUGAUGGAUGCCACACUGCACUCAAGAAUGAUGAAUUUGUUUCUGAUCUCUGAAGAAUCAAUGGUUAUAGCUUCUACCUAAAGCUGAUUCUACCUGCCAGGGCUUUCUACAUCAAUGUUCCAUAUCACCUUGAUGACACUAAGAUGAAAUUUAUCAGGAAAGUGGAAAAUAAGGCCUUCUGUACUCUGUGAACAUCUUUAAAUACAAUGGAUACUUUACAUGGCUCUGAUAAUCUUUUUUAUUUCACAUUUAGAGAAUAUCCUUCACAAGGAUCAUCUCAGCAGGAACUUUAAAAAGAAUCUCACCUUAUCACAGCACAGACUCCAUUCAGUCCACCUUGUUUGGAUUUAAUCCUGGCUGUGUCAACCAUUCAGUCCUAACUGAUCCAGGACUAAUCAUGAUGUCUUUCCAGGACUCAGUGACCUCACUCUGCAGGAUUGGACAUUUGGAAUGUGCAAGUGUGCAGCAAACUUCCUGCCUCUUGGUAUCAGCUCUCCCGAGGUGCUUUCUGCAAGUCCAAAUUUGUGAGUGAAGAAACUGCAAUGAUGCCAGAAAGCUGCUCUGAACUCUGAUGAUUGUCAGAAACUAUUUUGCUUGUGGGGUCAUUCAAUUUUGGCUGAAAUCAGUUCAGUGAAUAAUUUUGGUUUGCACAUAUAAAAAUAGAAAAUAUUUUUAAAUUGAGGGUUGUACUCAAGCUGUAAUUUGAAUACCUUGAAUGGUUCCAACUGUGGAUUCUGGGG